AGAGUUUGAUCCUGGCUCAGGACGAACGCUGGCGGCGUGCUUAACACAUGCAAGUCGAGCGGUAAGGCCUUUCGGGGUACACGAGCGGCGAACGGGUGAGUAACACGUGGGUGAUCUGCCCUGCACUCUGGGAUAAGCUUGGGAAACUGGGUCUAAUACCGGAUAUGACCGCAUGCCGCAUGGUGUGUGGUGGAAAGAUUUAUCGGUGCAGGAUGGGCCCGCGGCCUAUCAGCUUGUUGGUGGGGUAAUGGCCUACCAAGGCGACGACGGGUAGCCGACCUGAGAGGGUGACCGGCCACACUGGGACUGAGACACGGCCCAGACUCCUACGGGAGGCAGCAGUGGGGAAUAUUGCACAAUGGGCGGAAGCCUGAUGCAGCGACGCCGCGUGAGGGAUGAAGGCCUUCGGGUUGUAAACCUCUUUCAGCAGGGACGAAGCGUGAGUGACGGUACCUGCAGAAGAAGCACCGGCUAACUACGUGCCAGCAGCCGCGGUAAUACGUAGGGUGCGAGCGUUGUCCGGAAUUACUGGGCGUAAAGAGUUCGUAGGCGGUUUGUCGCGUCGUUUGUGAAAACCCGGGGCUCAACUUCGGGCUUGCAGGCGAUACGGGCAGACUUGAGUGUUUCAGGGGAGACUGGAAUUCCUGGUGUAGCGGUGAAAUGCGCAGAUAUCAGGAGGAACACCGGUGGCGAAGGCGGGUCUCUGGGAAACAACUGACGCUGAGGACNAAAGCGUGGGUAGCAAACAGGAUAGAUACCCUGGUAGUCCACGCCGUAACGGGGGCGCUAGGUGUGGGUCCUUCCCGGGAUCUGUGCCGUAGCUACGCAU
This 829-nucleotide ribosomal RNA is filed under the name Rhodococcus sp. pfB30. Its description in RNAcentral is "bacterial SSU rRNA". It matches the Rfam family "Bacterial small subunit ribosomal RNA", at positions 8 to 860 of the family's 1533-position model. The record is from RNAcentral. Lineage: Bacteria; Bacillati; Actinomycetota; Actinomycetes; Mycobacteriales; Nocardiaceae.